GACGAACGCUGGCGGCGUGCCUAACACAUGCAAGUCGAACGAGAACUUCGGGUCUUGUGGCGCUCGGGUGCGUACCACGUGGGAACCUGCCCUUAGGUUAGGAAUAACUCACCGAAAGGGGUGCUAAUAAAGGAUAGUGUAUUCGGACAAAAGAUUUAUCGCCUUUGGAUGGGCGCUCGUAGGAUUCGCUGGUUGGUAGUGUAAAAGCCUGCCAAGGCGACGAUGCAUAGCUGGUCGGUGAGGAUGGCCAGCCACACUUGGACUGAGACACGGCCCAGACUCCGACGGAAGGCAGCAGUGUGUAAUAUUGGACGAUGGACGAAAGCCUAAUCCAGCAAUGCCGCGUGUGUGAGGAAUGCCGUAGUGUUGUAAAGCUCUUUUACCCGAGAUGAUAAUGACAGUACCGGGUGAAGAAGCACCGGCUAACUCCGUG
This 433-nucleotide ribosomal RNA is filed under the name uncultured bacterium. RNAcentral describes it as "partial 16S ribosomal RNA". It matches the Rfam family "Bacterial small subunit ribosomal RNA", at positions 28 to 507 of the family's 1533-position model. The record is from RNAcentral.